Molecule: ribosomal RNA, 247 nt
Filed under: uncultured bacterium
Lineage: Bacteria
Description: partial small subunit ribosomal RNA
Rfam family: Bacterial small subunit ribosomal RNA
Source: RNAcentral
AGGACGAACGCUGGCGGCGUGCUUAACACAUGCAAGUCGAACGAUGAUCCGGUUUCGGCCGGGGAUUAGUGGCGAACGGGUGAGUAACACGUGACUAACCUACCCUCGACGUGGGGAAUAACCUCGGGAAACCGGGGCUAACACCGCAUAACAUCUACGGAUCAAAUGCGUAAGCAGCUUGAGGAGGGGGUCGCGGCUGAUUAGCUAGGUUGGCGGGGUAAUGGCCCACCAAGGCAGUGAUCAGUAG